CAGGAUGAACGCUAGCGACAGGCCUAACACAUGCAAGUCGAGGGGCAGCACAAGGAGCAAUCUGAGGUGGCGACCGGCGCACGGGUGAGUAACACGUAUGCAACCUGCCUGUAAGCGGGGAAUAACCCGUUGAAAGACGGACUAAUACCGCAUAAUACUAAAUUACUGCAUGGUAAUUUAUUUAAACAUUUAUGGCUUACAGAUGGGCAUGCGCAUGAUUAGCUAGUUGGAGAGGUAACGGCUCCCCAAGGCAACGAUCAUUAGGGGUUCUGAGAGGAAGGUCCCCCACACUGGUACUGAGACACGGACCAGACUCCUACGGGAGGCAGCAGUGAGGAAUAUUGGUCAAUGGACGAGAGUCUGAACCAGCCAAGUCGCGUGCAGGAAAAGAAUGUCCUAUGGAUUGUAAACUGCUUUUGCAGGGGAAUAAAGUGAGCCACGUGUGGUUUUUUGUAUGUACUCUGCGAAUAAGGAUCGGCUAACUCCGUGCCAGCCGCGGC
This 500-nucleotide ribosomal RNA is filed under the name uncultured bacterium. Its description in RNAcentral is "bacterial SSU rRNA". It matches the Rfam family "Bacterial small subunit ribosomal RNA", at positions 25 to 518 of the family's 1533-position model. The record is from RNAcentral.